GCCUAGAGAAUUGGAGCCACAUGCCCAGGAUAAAUCCAACAAGGCCCGGGGCCAGGACUCAAAGCCAGGAUUCCCGAUUCCAGGACCGGGCUCGUCAACACCGCACUCGUCAGCCUCUCUCUGGAUAUCAUAAUGAAACACCGGGUCCUGGCCCUCGCUUUAUGUCACGACAUCACGAAUGGAAUCACCUCGCACAGCUGAGUGCUGCAAGAUCACAAAGGGGCAAUGGGGGCGGUCUGCCGGAGAAGCGUUUCCAUCCGUGCUCAGAGAGCGAUGCUAACGGGGACAGGCUCUUUCCUCAAGUUGAUAGGGACAACUCCUUCGGUCUAAAGAACAUCAUCUACAAGUGAGGAGAGUUCCAGCAGCAAGGCAAGCAACGUCCUUAAGGCAACGCUAGCUUCGCUACGUACACCAUUUCUUCGGAAUCGGUGUAGAAGACUCCAAGAAAUUCUGGCACGAGAUGGUGCUGCGGCAGAAUCAGGGAAUGCAGAAACGAGUGAAGCAGGUAUCUAGUUCUCGUUUCCUUCAGCUUCUGUGUCAGAUAACAUCUAGUACAGAUGAUAAGAAUCUGCUCCUGAGAAGCGACGUAGAUGUUUCAUGUACUAGAAUUGGAACCCCAAAGUUUAAUGACUUAUUAAGAGAUGUUUUGUUACACAGCAGAUGCUGCAAUAUUUUUCGUGCUAGGGCUGUCUUCCUAUUUCAUCAGGCUGGUUGCACCAUAUUGGAUUUAUACAGGUGACAUGACUCCAAUGACCCUCCUUAUGGGAUCUGGCGGUGAUCGCACGAAGACUAGCACAGGGCACAGAAAGUUUCCUGAACUUGUGACUGGGCUUUCUGACCCCAGAGACAUCCAAUGUCUUAACAGAAGGUCUGGAUUUGGAAUCCCGGUGUUACACUGCUCUCUUAAAAUAAUAAAAUUGGGAGAACAUCAGGAUAAGCGAGUUAUUAAGAAAUCACUUUACCUUUACCUUC
Molecule: long non-coding RNA, 972 nt
Organism: Prionailurus viverrinus (fishing cat)
Lineage: Eukaryota; Metazoa; Chordata; Mammalia; Carnivora; Felidae
Exons: 3
Source: RefSeq, a predicted model, not a curated record